CUUGAUGCACAAAAUAUAGCAACAACAACAAAUGGAGAUUACCAAAAAACCAGAUGGGAAUAAGAACCUCUUACAUUAGACAUGUUAGAGCAUUUUAGCAAACACCCAUUAUGAAUUCACAAGCUUACAAAUAGGAAAUUUAAUAAACCAGUUGACCUAGUUUUAAGAUUACCAGAAGUUGGAUUCUACAUCUGCCAAACUUCAAGCUGAUAGUUUCUAAUAAAUUUCUUCUUUGCAUUAGAAGAAAAAAAGGAGAAAAAAAAAAGAAAAGAGAAAGGUGAUUUAGCCAUUAAAAUAGAUGUAGUCAAAACAAAAUCAACCUAAUGUACCAUUUUAGGGUGAUAAUUUUUAUGAUGGACCUGUAAUAUCAUCCUAAAUUCCUAACGAUGAGCCUUGAAGGGAGAGAGGGCUCACAAAUUUUCGCUUUUCUAACUCGGGAUACCCCAUGGCUAAAACCAGUAGCCGCGUGGGUCGACGGUUCAAUACAGAGUUAGUGAGUAAAAAGGAAACCAGUUCCCAAAGGGAUUUUUCUUCAUCUUCCUCCGCCGCUUCCCCUUCGGACCUACACUCUUCUUCUUCUUUUCCGAAGGAGGAGCAGGUCCUUUCCUGGUUCUUCGAACUGCUGAGCUUUAAAAGCUUAUUUAUUCCUUCAUCUCUUUCUCAUCUCAGGUUUCUUUUUCUAAUUACAUAUAUAUCUCCUGCUGUCAACAACUUCUCUUUCUCUGUUCAAAACUAGUUUCCUAGAAACCCUAAAAGUUUCAAUAAGAUUUAUUUUCAUAUUUCAUUGGAAAAAGCUCAGAUUUUGUUCUUUCAAUGUCAGAUUCUAAGGAGGUAUUUGUUUUUGGGUCAUUCACCAAAGAGGAUGUCAGUUUGUUCAAAACCCAACCAUCCACUAGUCAGCCUAUGGAAAAGAAAGAACUUCAGUUUGUCUCUUUAGAUGCAGCAACUAUAAGCUCCGUGGGUUGCUUUAAGGUUGAACACAAGCAGGAUGAUAUUCCUAAAGAGGUAAAAAAUGUCAAUUCACCAAACCCUACGAGAAAGGAAAAUCCACUCAAGACUGUAAAUACAACAAACAAGCAGCGUAGAGUGUCCGCAAGUAUUGCUGAGAAUGGGAAUGUUACAUCUUCGUCCAGUUGUUCUCCACUUGUCAACGGGGUAGUAGAGAGAACUAGUGCAGACAUAAGUUCAUUAUGUAUAUCCCAAACUACAGAAUGUGCGCAGGAGCAAUUAAUUUCAGACCUUGAGUAUGGAAUAGAAACUGUUACCUCUUUCCCAGAGGGGAUAAGUGCCGUCGACUCAUCAGAAGGUUUGUCAUCAAAAGAGCAUACUUUUAAGGUGGUAUCGAAUGGGCCAGGUGCAUCUUUUAAAGCGUUAUUACCUCGAGGUUUAGUCAACUCAGGGAACCUAUGCUUUCUCAAUGCAUCACUUCAGGCUCUUCUCUCCUGUUCUCCAUUUGUUCAGCUUCUGCAGGAACUAAGAGCUUACGAUAUUCCAAAGAUUGGAUAUCCUACAUUACAUGCGUUUAUUGAGUUUAUCUCCCAUUUUGAUACUGCUGAUACAAGCUCAAAGAAAUCCCAAAUGGUGGUAACUCAGACUGAAAUGCCUUUCGUCCCCGCUAUGUUUGAGCCGGUUUUGAAAAAUUUCACUCCCGAUGUACCAAAUAGUGCGUCAGGAAGGCCAAGACAAGAAGAUGCUCAGGAGUUUCUCUGUUUUGUGAUGGAUCAAAUGCAUGAUGAAGUGCUCAAGCGUUUUGGUCAGGUUUCAAAUACAGGUGGGGGAAAUUUCUCUACCACUUCUCCUUCAGAAGAUGAAGGGUGGGAGACUGUGGGUCCAAAGAACAAAUCUGCAGUUACAAGAACACAAAGUUUAGUUCCAUCUAAAAUAAGUGAAAUAUUUGGGGGACAGCUGAGAAGCGUUGUGAAAUCUAAAGGCAACAAGGACUCUGCUACGAUUCAGCCUUUCCUCUUGCUUCACCUUGAUAUUUUUUCGGGAUCUGUUCGUACUGUUGAGGAUGCACUUCGGCUGUUUUCUUCUCCUGAAACAUUGGAAGGGUACAAAACAUCUGCAGCUGGCAAGGCUGCGUCCGUGAGUGCGAGCAAGUCAAUAAAGAUACAAGCAACUUCCAAGAUAAUGAUAUUACAUCUUAUGCGGUUUAGUUAUGGAAGCCGCGGAAGCACCAAACUCCAUAAGCCUGUGCGUUUUCCACUGGAACUAGUCCUGGGCCGUGAGUUGCUUGCUUCUUCGUCAUCCGAGGGUCGAAGGUAUGAGCUCUUUGCAACAAUAACUCAUCAUGGAAAGGAGCCGUCGAAGGGCCAUUACACUGCCGAUACUCGCUGUUCAGAUGGAAAAUGGUUGAGGUACGAUGAUGCUUCUGUAACUGCGGUGGCUGUAAACAAAGUGUUGCAUGAUCAGGCCUAUCUCCUAUUCUACAAACAAGUAUAGGUAAUUCAAUUAUUAUCCUCUACCACCAUUGUGUAAAAAGAUCAGCGACAAUAUGUGUGAGAGCCUACGCAUUGUAACAAUCAGAAGUCUUCUGCAUCAGAACAAUCAGAAGUCUUCUUGGUCUUCAUCUCCUACAUAGAAGAGUGCUAUUACAUGGAGUUCUCUCCCUGUGAGAGUUUUAUUAUUUCAAGGGGUUCCUGAAGGAGAUGAAGAAUCUUAAGUUUCUGAACCAAGACUGUCGUUUUAUAGUUGACCCCCCCCCCCCCCCCCCCCCCCCUUCUCUUUGUUGGUAAAAAUGGAAUGUACGAGUUUAGUUUGACAAGGGCAGAAGCUGGUUCCGUUGGUGUGUUAAACCAGUGUGCGCAUAUUUCGACCAAGCUCAGAGGGUUACGAUGCUUGUUAACAUGACAUCGACGAAGUUGUUUGCAAGGGGCCUAUGAAGGGGUUAACUGAGGCUCUCGUCCAUUUUGUACUGAUUUAGAUAUUAGCCCAAUUUUGCUCGUUAUUAGCCCAUGUACUAUGUAACAUCGCCUUAUUUUCAGCCCAUUUGGUUCCCUUAAAAACAAGAAUCCUGUUUCAAGGUUCUAAGAUCAAUAGUG
RNA transcript from Papaver somniferum (opium poppy), 3041 nucleotides. It is a transcript of the gene named ubiquitin carboxyl-terminal hydrolase 24-like, with no coding region annotated. Lineage: Eukaryota; Viridiplantae; Streptophyta; Magnoliopsida; Ranunculales; Papaveraceae. The record is from RefSeq and is a predicted model, not a curated record. The transcript has 8 exons.